AAUGAAAACAUUAAAUUGUCUUAAAGUAACCAUUUCACAUUUAGCAUAUAUCAACUUUGAAUUACAGACUUCCUCCAAGUUAGUAGCAAUUCUUUUUUUCUUUACCAGUGAUAACGAAAGACAGAAACACCACCUUGCCUUCAGGGUCAGAAAUGUGUUUGUGUUGGAAUGAGAUCAACUCUUUGUUUUCCAUAUCGUGGAGAGAGUGCACACAGAAGAGAGAUCCAAAACUCAAGACUAGGGUGUGAUGUUCUUUUAGUCGACUCGUUAGUCUCAACCAAUCAAAAAGACCAUCCCCAUCUAGGCAGCUUGUAAGUGAGAGGAGAAGCUUUGCCUGAUUUGGGUUCAAAUCCCAGCUCGCUCCUUUCUAACUUUGUGGCCUUGAUCAACGUGACUCACUUCGCAGAGUCCCAAGUUCUUCAUCUUCGGCACAGAUGAAGGAACGUUAUUAAUACGUUAAUUACGUAACAUAAUUAAUACGUUAUUAAUACGUUAUUAAUGAAAUGCUGAAUAUGGAGCGUCUCCAGACCCUGAACCUGGUAGGUGCAGAAUAGAUGACAGCCAUCCUUAUCAUGAGGACAAAUCCAAAGCCACCGAGCCCUCGGCUCAGUCUACUCUGCACUGAAUUUGAGAAAAUGGGCUGAAAUGAAUUAGGCUAGGUACCUGCAAAGGCGAUACAGCAUGUGGACCAACAGCUUCAGAUCCCAACCCUGGUUCUAGUCGAUCCUAACCAUGUGACCAGUUCCCACAUCUGGAAAAGGAGAGAAAUUGCGGAAGGUGCCUCAUGAGGGAGAAGGAAGCCGAGCUAAUGCCUAUGAUACAUUUUGCCUACCGCCUGGCACAUAGAAUUACUGACUGAGAAACUGAUCUUUGGCAGAGAAGAGCUGCAUGAACAUAACCCCUUGAUCUACUAUUGGGUCAGCUGGUUCCUUAAGAGACUGCUGUUGUGUGAAGGCAAGACCCCAGGACCCUGAGAACAGAAGGCCAAGGUUGGAAUCCCAGCUCUGCUAUCACCACCGUGUGACCUUGGACAGGUCAGAAUCAUCUCCCCAAGGCUCAAUGUCCAAAUUCUCUUUCGAGAUCAUGCAGGCUGACAUACUCUUGGGGACACAACUGAAGGAAGAAUUCAAGGAGGAGCCAUCCCCCUGAGACCUGGACUGCCUCAUGAGCUCAGGUUGCAGACAGAACUUCAAUGACACCAAUGUCACCAUUGCGAGUUCACGACGAAGGAAUCAUUUUGGAGUCUCUACUUGUAGAUUCCAUUAAAAUAAAAUAGGGCUUUAAAGUUUUCUAAGACCUCUAUCUCAUAGUUUUUAAUUAAUAAGAAUUGCAGUAUCACUUAAAUAUAUAAUCUUCUUGGAGCUAUAAAGUCCAGCUGGUGGCCAAUUACAUUUUAAUCUAUUUA
This is a long non-coding RNA of Felis catus (domestic cat), 1405 nucleotides long. RefSeq lists it as uncharacterized. NCBI's taxonomy places the organism in Eukaryota, Metazoa, Chordata, Mammalia, Carnivora, Felidae. The transcript is spliced from 4 exons. The record is from RefSeq and is a predicted model, not a curated record.